This 132-nucleotide small nucleolar RNA is filed under the name Leptobrachium leishanense (Leishan spiny toad). The record is from RNAcentral. Lineage: Eukaryota; Metazoa; Chordata; Amphibia; Anura; Megophryidae.
UUGCACUGAGAACUGUCUCCUUUAGUCUUUCCUUGGCUUUUGGAGUCUUGUUUCGGUGCCAGAUUAAAAUCCCUGCGAGCAGAAAGGCCAGGCUUUACCAUAACCUGCCCCUUCCGAUAGCUGGGUACAAAU